CAACAGACUGCAUAUAUUGAUAUACUUGCAUUGACGUUUCUAUGGCAACAGCUGCUUACAACUUUUAUUUAUUAAUAUAUUUUCCUUGCAAGUGUUACAAAAAUAAAAUAUAUAUAGAAUGUCACAAAAAGGCAGUGAAUCAUCUAAUGUAAUAUUAUGUGAACGAUUUAACAAACAUUUACGCGUUUCACAACCAAUGAAAUGCGAUAAAGUUGUACAUAGACCAAACAUUGUGAAAAAGGUUGUUUUAUCAAAACAAAUCAAUCCAGCAUCUAAACAUAGAAAAAGUAGAUCAACAGGUGUCAUUUCCAACACCAAAACAAAUGUAAAAACCUUCAAAAGUACAAAAUCUGACUGCAUGUUCCAUGUGUCUCAAGCAAAUUUUGAUUAUUGCAAGAAAUGUGGUGACUGCAAAGGAAUAGCAGAUAGAGUUGAAAAAUCUGAUAAUCUUUGCAAUAGAACCGUUCAUGCUAAAAAGACUAAACAUGACGGACAGACCGGUGUUCACCAACAUUACUUAAAUAAGAACUUUCAUCAAUCCACAGAAUCUAUAACCAACUGUACACCCAAAAAGGUGUCAUUAGAUACAAUAAAGGAACAGUCUGAAAGUAAUAACUCAUCCAAUGAUAUAUUCAGAAUUUAUGACGAUUGUUCAACAGAAGAAAUUGGUUUCUUCAACACAGAUGACCAACAUAACAUAGAUAUCUUAAAAAACUUUAGAAAUACAAACUUUUUUGAAUGCCAUUCGGCAAAAUCAAGAAUACAUAGUAUUGCCAAUAAAGAAAAACAUAAGUGUAUUUAUAGAUUUUAUUUAAAUGAAAGAUUGUUCCCUGUUCCUUUUAAUGCAGAUUUUAAUGAGAACAUAAGAUGUAUGGAGUGCAAUUUGCCAUUAAAAGAUGAAAACGAUCUGGCUACAAAUGGGAUGAUUCAGGCUAAAGUAAAACUUAAUAAUGAGGUACAGGACAUGAUUUUGAUGUUGCCAAUUAAAGAACAUUUAAUUAUUAAAGAAAGAAAAAUGAUAAAAAGUAAGGAGGAUAAAGACUCUGUCUAUUUUGGAAUAAUAAAGCUGGAUUUAAACGGUGAUUCAAUGUUUAAUAGAACACUUCCAGGUGAUUCUCUAGCCUUAAAAUACCAGAAAGGUUACAGGCAGUAUGCAGAUCACCUUAACUAUGACUAUACAAACAAUAAUAAUGAUGAAGUUGUUAUAAUAUAAAAGUUAUUUUAUUCAUCAAAAAUGUGAAUCUUAUUUAAAUUAUGGUUUAACUAUAUAUGCUCUUGAAACAAAAAAUCUUUUAUUAAUAUUUUUUACAUACACACUAUUCUCUUCUUAAUUUUGACUAAAGAUAAUUUUAACUUGGAGGAUUUUUUUAUGAAAAUUGGACACACUUAAUACAUUGUAUAUGCUCUUAAGAAUACAUAAUAAUAUAAUAUAUAAUGAACCAAGCCUGAAUUGCCUUUGUUGAAAGGUAUGCUAGUGGGCACACCCUACAUGUGCUACACCAGCUGCCUUUUAAGGUGUUUCUGAACUUCUUCAAACAUAAAGUACAAAGUGUUAAAAGGAAUGAAACAAGGCAAUGUGAAUGUCCCUAGUUGAUGGUUUAAAAAAAACAUUAACUCUCGGUUAUUAGUUAAAGCUAAGUACGUACUACCGAUUACGGAAUUAUAAAUUAACAAUUGUUGUAUGAUUUCUGUUGCUACGUCAUUCUAAUUGAGAUCUAAAACUCUAUCAUUAGGACAUAUUUUAAGAAGACUUCUAUUUGUAUACCUACCUACAAAAUAUUACAAACUUGAAAAUUCUUAGUGGCCGACCUUAUAAACCAGAAACAUUUAGCAAUAUGAACCAUAAUAUUUGUUUAAGUUGAAAUUGAAGGUCGUAUGAAAGUGGUGAAAUAUUUCACGCGUUGGUGAAGGGAUGGUAAUAAUGUUAAAGUUGCAUCCAAAACAAACUUGUUUGUGAUUUACAUACGCAAUAAAAAAAUAUAUAUGACAGUGAAAAGCGCGCGAAAUCAGUUGUUUGCGAGAGAGCGUCAAGUUCGCACUCGUUGAUAAAAAUGAUUUUUAGUGAAAGAAAAAUGUUUUUAUUUUUAUUUUGUAUUAUAAGUUCAGUGAUCGCAGAAAAUUCAUUGCCGGCUGAGUUUACAAGAUGUCGACAGAACGACGUCGCCAUCGACGAAUGCCUCAAGCACGCGGUGCCCGACGCGCUCAGGAAGAUGAAGAAAG
Pieris rapae (cabbage white) is the source of this 2220-nucleotide RNA transcript. It is a transcript of the gene named protein takeout, with no coding region annotated. NCBI's taxonomy places the organism in Eukaryota, Metazoa, Arthropoda, Insecta, Lepidoptera, Pieridae. The transcript is spliced from 2 exons. The record is from RefSeq and is a predicted model, not a curated record.